GGAUCAGUAAAUGAUGUAGUGGAAUCUGAGCCCCUGUGACAUCGGUCUCUGGCAUAACCUGAAAGAUGAGUGAAAAUUGGAUAGUGCAUCUGCAGCCAUGUUCUGAAUCUCGUUAAUAUAAUGACAUAGAAAGUAAUAAAGUGCAAGAUUAUUAAUAUCAAAGAAGACUCACAGUUACUUCACGUAAUUCUUUUCACAUGAAAAACAAAGCAACAUAAAUGAUGUUAUUAACAGUCAGGUAAUGACGGAUAAUGUAAUUGUCCUCUUCCAGAUGACACCUUGAGGGAACAAAGAUUGCUGGAGAAAAUAAAAUGUUAUUUUAACAUUCAAUCCGAGGAGCACAUGUGGAUUUCAGAGAUAGCAGAGGAUUGAUUGACAAUAAACUUUCCACAUGAUCAGCACCUUCCAGGUGGAAAGCAGCAUAAAUGUAUUUAUUAUGCUAAGAUUGCACCUGAUGUGGCCCAAGCCAUCCCUAAUCACAUUAUAUACCCAAGGUCACAGUAAUAUACAAUCGCACAUUUUCUUUUAUGCAAUUGUAUACAGAGAAAAUAAAAACACA
Molecule: long non-coding RNA, 559 nt
Organism: Hyla sarda
Lineage: Eukaryota; Metazoa; Chordata; Amphibia; Anura; Hylidae
Exons: 4
Source: RefSeq, a predicted model, not a curated record